This 495-nucleotide ribosomal RNA is filed under the name uncultured bacterium. RNAcentral's name for it is "bacterial SSU rRNA". It matches the Rfam family "Bacterial small subunit ribosomal RNA", at positions 36 to 524 of the family's 1533-position model. The record is from RNAcentral.
GUGACUGGCGGCGGCCUAACCAUGCAAGUCGCUCGGAUGAAGAGAGCUUGCUCUCUGAUUCAGCGGCGGACGGGUGAGUAAUGCCUAGGAAUCUGCCUGGUAGUGGGGGACAACGUCUCGAAAGGGACGCUAAUACCGCAUACGUCCUACGGGAGAAAGCCUGGGACCUUCGGGCCUUGCGCUAUCAGAUGAGCCUAGGUCGGAUUAGCUAGUUGGUGAGGUAAUGGCUCACCAAGGCGACGAUCCGUAACUGGUCUGAGAGGAUGAUCAGUCACACUGGGACUGAGACACGGUCCAGACUCCUACGGGAGGCAGCAGUGGGGAAUAUUGGACAAUGGGCGAAAGCCUGAUCCAGCCAUGCCGCGUGUGUGAAGAAGGUCUUCGGAUUGUAAAGCACUUUAAGUUGGGAGGAAGGGCAGUAAGCGAAUACCUUGCUGUUUUGACGUUACCGACAGAAUGAGCACCGGCUAACUCUGUGCCAGCAGCCGCGGUAAU